Zingiber officinale is the source of this 1615-nucleotide RNA transcript. It is a transcript of the gene named adenine phosphoribosyltransferase 3-like, with no coding region annotated. The transcript has 6 exons. Lineage: Eukaryota; Viridiplantae; Streptophyta; Magnoliopsida; Zingiberales; Zingiberaceae. The record is from RefSeq and is a predicted model, not a curated record.
GGGGAGAGGGACAGAGAUAAGGCGAGAAGAUCUUCCUCGUGAUACCUUUCGAUUCCCCCUACGCAUGUACACCAACAUCACCAUCAUCCACCACCCACCGCCACGUAGAGGAGGAGCAUACAGAGCAUAUAUAGGGCAUAUGCAGACCAUAUAGAGCAAGAGCAACAGCGACAGCUACAGCCAAGAGGAGAGAGUGAAGGAGACGGAGCUGCUAACAGACUACGAUAAAGGCCACGGCAGGGCCGACCAAAUGGCUGCGACAGGAUCUCCUUGUUUCCUUCUCGAGACGAUUCUCUCUGCCUUUCUCUCUCUCUGCUACUCCUUUUCUCUGGGCUUUCUCGGCUUCCCUUUUUUUGUUGUAUGUGCUUGAUUCGGCUGCGCCGCUCCCUCUCUGCCUCCUCGUCGGCGUUCCGUUUGACCUUGUUCUUCGACGGCGAAUGGCGUCCUGUAAGGACAACGAGCAGGACCCGCGCGUCCAUGGAAUCGCCGCUGCCAUCCGCGUCGUCCCCGAUUUCCCCAAGAAAGGAAUCAUGUUCCGGGACAUCACGACGCUUUUACUUAAUCCGAAAGCCUUCAGGAACGCCGUGGACUUGUUCGUGGAGCGGUACCUGGGGAAGGAUAUCACCGUUGUCGCUGUUGGCUGGCAAACAGAGAAAUGCUCUACUUUUCAUCAUUCUGCUUUAUGUUUGAGGAAGAUUAUCCAUGGCACUUUGCUUGACUGGAUUGCUACCAUGAACCAUAACUAUGAUCUAGCUCUGUUUGUGGGACUGGUGGUCUUCACUCUCCAUCCAGGCAGAGGUCCAUUGUUUGAGGGAAACUGUCUAAAAGGAAUGGGCCUCUAUAUUCUGUCUCUGGGCUCUUGCUUAAUGUGUGGAUUUGGUUACUAACAUCAACCAAUCUCCUUUGUCGACCGAAACUCAGACAAACCAUAGAUGUGAAAACUUCUAUGGCUUUUUCUUGUUCUAUUUGUGAUUGUUGCUAAUAAGAUCUAUAUCUUAUUAGACUUUUCCAAUUAAAUACUAUUCUGUUAACUACCCUUCGAUCAAUUCACAGGGAUUGAAGCUAGAGGCUUGAUAUUUGGGCCACCAAUUGCUUUAGCAAUUGGUGCAAAAUUUAUUCCAUUGAGGAAGCCAAAAAAAUUACCAGGUGAAGUCAUUUCCGAGAAGUAUGAUCUGGAAUAUGGAAGUGAUUGUCUCGAAAUGCAUGUUGGCGCAGUCCAACCUGGAGAUCGUGCUCUAGUGGUUGAUGAUCUAAUAGCAACUGGAGGAACACUCUGUGCUGCUAUGAAUCUACUCGAACGUGCUGGCGCAAAUGUGGUUGAAUUUGCAUGUGUGAUAGAGCUUCCAGAACUUAAGGGGCGAGAUAAGCUAAAAGGCAAACCGUUGCAUAUUCUGGUGGAGUCCCGUUGAGUCUUCCGCUUUCGCUCUAUUAAUCGGCUGGGUGUCUACUUUGUCGGCUCUAAGCAUUUGAGUAUUGGGUGAAGCUCUGGAUUGGUUAUCGUAGCAUUGAAUUUUGAUUAGUUUGUUGUCUGGUUUCUUCUUCAUCUUUGGUUUCACAAAGUUUCUGUUGGAACUUCACUCCAGAUUUUAGUAAAAGUGAUCCUUGAAAUCUAUAA